Molecule: long non-coding RNA, 235 nt
Filed under: Lathyrus oleraceus (garden pea)
Lineage: Eukaryota; Viridiplantae; Streptophyta; Magnoliopsida; Fabales; Fabaceae
Description: Pisum sativum (pea) long non-coding RNA (PSAT_LNC038586)
Source: RNAcentral
UCGAUACAUCGACGGUAAAGUAGGCAAAUACUGAAAAAUAACAAGGGAAACAAAUUUUGAUGAUAAUUAAAAUACUAAACAUAGAAAAUACUAAAACUCUAGUAUAAUCAGUUAAUACUAGCUAUCACUUUGGUCUACGAGAAUGCUCCAAAGAAUGGAUUUGUUGGAAUACAUGAUCGAACUAUUCGUUAACGACAUCCAUAAAUCCUAGGACAUCCACUCGGAGAGAACUCAC